RNAcentral lists this ribosomal RNA (515 nucleotides) under Kocuria rosea. Its description in RNAcentral is "bacterial SSU rRNA". It matches the Rfam family "Bacterial small subunit ribosomal RNA", at positions 378 to 903 of the family's 1533-position model. The record is from RNAcentral. Lineage: Bacteria; Bacillati; Actinomycetota; Actinomycetes; Micrococcales; Micrococcaceae.
GGAGCCUGAUGCAGCGACGCCGCGUGAGGGAUGACGGCCUUCGGGUUGUAAACCUCUUUCAGUAGGGAAGAAGCGAGAGUGACGGUACCUGCAGAAGAAGCGCCGGCUAACUACGUGCCAGCAGCCGCGGUAAUACGUAGGGCGCAAGCGUUGUCCGGAAUUAUUGGGCGUAAAGAGCUCGUAGGCGGUUUGUCGCGUCUGCUGUGAAAGCCCGGGGCUCAACCCCGGGUCUGCAGUGGGUACGGGCAKACUAGAGUGCAGUAGGGGAGACUGGAAUUCCUGGUGUAGCGGUGAAAUGCGCAGAUAUCAGGAGGAACACCGAUGGCGAAGGCAGGUCUCUGGGCUGUUACUGACGCUGAGGAGCGAAAGCAUGGGGAGCGAACAGGAUUAGAUACCCUGGUAGUCCAUGCCGUAAACGUUGGGCACUAGGUGUGGGGGACAUUCCACGUUCUCCGCGCCGUAGCUAACGCAUUAAGUGCCCCGCCUGGGGAGUACGGCCGCAAGGCUAAAACUCA